Molecule: long non-coding RNA, 368 nt
Organism: Daphnia carinata
Lineage: Eukaryota; Metazoa; Arthropoda; Branchiopoda; Diplostraca; Daphniidae
Exons: 3
Source: RefSeq, a predicted model, not a curated record
GCUGAGGAUGGAAGCAUGAAAUGAACGUCUUCCUUCUAGAAAUUUUACCGUUGAUUUCAUCGUGUUUAGACCUGGAUUUCGUGAAUUGAAUCUGUGCUUAAAGGUGAAGUAAGUUCGUAAAGGAGCAGCAUUGAUUGGCUUAGCCACCACGUUUUUGAUCUCGGUUAGUCGAAUACACAGAUUUGGGACCGAGGGUGCUACACGAAGAAGGCAGUCCUUUGCAAUCGAUAUCACAGCCUGGAUGUCUUAAAUCCAGAGUAUAUCAGGUGCUAGUGAUUUACCAGGAUGCUGCCACUAGUCGCAGAAUCACUUUGGGAAAGAAAGAAAUAUCAUUAUUCUGUGUUACUGUAAUAAAAGGCAUCCAGUAC